This 971-nucleotide long non-coding RNA is filed under the name Bos taurus (domestic cattle). RNAcentral's name for it is "long non-coding RNA NONBTAT000967". The record is from RNAcentral. Lineage: Eukaryota; Metazoa; Chordata; Mammalia; Artiodactyla; Bovidae.
GAGCCCUUUUGUUCACUUGGGAUCUGAGAAGUAUUUUUAUGUGCAUAACUUAUGUUAAUUUGUUAUGUGCAUAAAAAAAAACUUCAGUGAUUUUACAACUGAAGGAUAAUUCAGGGUGUAGCUAAAAAUAUUUGCUAGGUCAGUGUAUAUAAACCUUAGCCCUCAAAUUUAUUACUGGUGAGGUUAAGCUGUGAAAAUAUCAAAUGCUUUUUCCUAAAACCCUAAUAAUGGAAAAUUUUAAAGUAAGGUGUAGUGUGAACAGUGCAGUCUUUGGACUUGAAAAACAAGUAACAUUUUUGGCUUUAUUAUUCUUCUCUUUAAUAGAAGAGAAUAGAAUUAUAAAUUAACUAUAAGGUAUGGGAAUUUUCAGUAAUCUCCAAAUUGGUAAAUAUGGCAAAAAGAAAAUAAUUUUUCAUUUUCUUCCAGGUAGUAGAAUAUAUUCAUGAAAAUCCUCCUUGUUCUGGAAACACAAAAUCAUCUUAAAAGUGGGGUUAGCCCAAGGAGUUUUUUUAGAACUGACAACCAUAUUCUAGGAUAUAAAUAUUAAGAUUUCAUUUUUUACAAAUGACUAAUCCCAGUAUCCUUUAAGAAUACAUACUACAGCAUCAUGAUAGGCUUUUUUUUUUUUAAAUAGCAUAUGCUCAGAUUUAGAAGUGAAAAGCCCAGUCCCCAAAGGUAACUAUUCUUUAUAGAGGUAGCCUUCCAAACUUUGAGAGAGGUGCAUCUUUUUUGGCUAUUAGUUACCUGAAAUGUUGCUAUGGGAGAACUUGCCAGCUGCCAUGACCCCCUCCCAUCCCCCCACCAAUUCUAAAGGUUCUCUGCAGGUUAAAUACUGUUCUAGCAUAUAUAUACAAAAUUGUAUAUGAUAUUUGAACUAAAACACAAAAUCAAAAGGAGAGAUUACAUGGGGGGUAAAAAUGAUCAUUUCAUGAAACUUGGGAUGCCUUAGGCCUAAAACUGUUUUGCAAAAU